UUGACCUCGGAUCAGGUAGGGAUACCCGCUGAACUUAAGCAUAUCAAUAAGCGGAGGAAAAGAAACCAACCGGGAUUGCCCCAGUAACGGCGAGUGAAGCGGCAAGAGCUCAAAUUUGAAAUCUGGCCCCUCCGGGGUCCGAGUUGUAAUUUGCAGAGGAUGCUUCGGGUGCGGCCCCUGUCUAAGUGCCCUGGAACGGGCCGUCAGAGAGGGUGAGAAUCCCGUCUUGGGCAGGGUGCCCGUGCCCGUGUGAAGCUCCUUCGACGAGUCGAGUUGUUUGGGAAUGCAGCUCUAAAUGGGUGGUAAAUUUCAUCUAAAGCUAAAUACCGGCCGGAGACCGAUAGCGCACAAGUAGAGUGAUCGAAAGAUGAAAAGCACUUUGAAAAGAGAGUUAAACAGCACGUGAAAUUGUUGAAAGGGAAGCGCUUGCGACCAGACUCGACCCCGGGGUUCAGCCAGCACUCGUGCUGGUGUACUUCCCCGGGGCCGGGCCAGCGUCGGUUUGGGCGGUCGGUCAAAGGCCCUAGGAAUGUAUCAUCCUCCGGGAUUGUCUUAUAGCCUAGGGUGCAAUGCGGCCAGCCCGGACCGAGGAACGCGCUUCGGCACGGACGCUGGCGUAAUGGUCGCAAACGACC
RNAcentral lists this ribosomal RNA (635 nucleotides) under Aspergillus sp. NRRL 4649. RNAcentral's name for it is "eukaryotic LSU rRNA". It matches the Rfam family "Eukaryotic large subunit ribosomal RNA", at positions 1 to 649 of the family's 3401-position model. The record is from RNAcentral. Lineage: Eukaryota; Fungi; Ascomycota; Eurotiomycetes; Eurotiales; Aspergillaceae.